UUUUUAGAGUCAUUAGUGGCAAUCCAAUUACUACAAUACAUGAAGGUGCGUUUGCAGACCUACCAGCCCUCGAGUCAAUGUAUGUAUACAGAUACACAAUACAGUGUAUUCAACAAUUCAACCGCCUAAUUAGAAAUGUUUAAGGUCCAUUACUAUACGCCACUAGUUAUCAUUACUGCUGUUGCCGGCAUUCUGGUUGUGUGUAAUAACUAGAACGUACUACACAUACAGUUGAUCUGAGUCUGUUUUGAACAAGUUGAAAGAUAAAUGACCUUUUAUUUCAAAUAUGAAAAUAUAUAUGAUUAUAUUUUUAAAAAGGAAAGCACAAAAAUACCAAACUGCAAGGAAAAUUCAAACUGCAAUGACUAAUCUCAAACACAUCAAACAAACUAAAAACUAAUUUCGAAUUCCUGACAAGUGAGGCAUUUUUAUGUAGAAAAUAGUGUAAUAGAUCUGUUUGUAUAGCUAGUUUAACCUCUCACUUGUAUGACAAUUAUAUAUAAUUCAAUUAUAUUGCCAACGAUUUCUUAACAACACAAACAAUCAUAAUAGGUAAAUUGUCAAAAUAUGAGUACGACAGUCAACAAUUUGAAUGACCACAAAAAAAAAAAAUAAAAAAUUAUGAAACACAGAAACAGAAAAAGACAUAUAGACAAAUCAUACAGGUAACAAUGAUAUACAAAAGAACAAACAUUUACCAUAGAAAAAUUAACACAUUAACGCAUUUAAAGAAGAGAAACAGAUUCCGACACUAUAACUCGUAUAUUACGAUAUUUCUCCACUCUCAAUACUUAAAUUUUAAUUAUUUAAAAAGCUCUGCAAGCCUCGCACUUUAAAUAAUAAAAUUUAACUGUCUCGAGUGGAGAAAUAUCGUAAUACACUUGUUGCAGUGUACAAUCUAUAUACCCCAAAUGCAGGUGAAGGUUUUAUUGGUACUUUUAUAUGAAUUUGAAAUUAUUUGCCUUUAUUUCUUUGUCGUUUUCCUCUCAUAUAUUUUCUAAUUCUUUACAUUUGAAUAUAUACUUUUUAAAAGCUCUUUUAAUAUUAAUAAGUAAGCAUUUGUAUGAUAUUUUUAUGUGUGUUUUUAUGUAUAACAGUUUUUAUUGUUUGGAAAUACAUUUUUCUAAAUAAAUGCCGUUUUCCGUUGAAAGUUGUUUUGAAAGUAAGAAAUGAAAUUUAAUCAUUUUAUACCGUAUGUUUUUUAAAACUGAAUUAUAUUAUUUUUCUAAAUUUACAAUCAAGCGAUAUCUUAAAAACUACUGGAUCACAACAAAUGAAUGGUCGAUACUUCGAUAAUCGGUUCAUCUAGAAAAGAGUUUUUUUAAACUUCGAAAACUGCAUCAAUUUGAAUAACGUAUAUAAAAAAAGAACUUUCAACAAGAAAUCUAAUAAGACAUACAUUAAAAACUAUAGGUCAACAAUCGCAUAGGAAACCUUUAAAAAUGCACAGAAAUGACAAAUGAAAAAAGAAUUCAAACGAGAAAACUGGCAUGUUUUUAAAGAUGAUUCACAAAAAAGACACAUAUCAAUAAUAGUUGAUUUUAACACUAAAGUUUGACUAAUGGGCUGUUAAUGGGAUAAACAAUCUAUCAAACAUUGACAUUGAACAGUUAGGUUGCCAAGUUUAUUAUUCACGUUUACCUGUGAAUUGACGUGAACACAAACGCAUGUUCGAAUUUUAUAAAUUGAGAACGCAUAUGACUCCCUGUAUUGAAAGCAUAUCAAAGCAGAUUGUCAUGGUAAUUUAUAUACUUUGUUCAUUUACACAUUAAAAGCUAUCAUUCGUUUUUACAGUUUAAACGAUUAUGUGCAUGUAUGAUAUGUGAUUUUUUGGGAUGAAAUUAAUAUACAAAAAUAUACAUCAAUUUAUUUAUAUUCCACGAGUUUCGAUUUUCAUUGAUUUCAUACAUGUAUAAAAUAAAAAUAAUUGUUUUAUAUUGGGUAUACAUUUAACUCCCAUAUUAUUAUAUAAUUUGUGGUGUAUCUGGUUUCAUAUACAUUCUAUAAUUUCAAUAACUGGGUUUAAGUGUUCCCUUUCAAUAGCAAUGUUAUCACACGCUUUGGUUUUUCCAAUGUAUUGAAUAGCGAUACGAAGGUAAGGAAUGUUAAUUGAAGUAUGACUGUACACAUGGCAAUAUGAUAUUUUUAUUUCAAAGAUCCAUCUUAAUGGUAUUAGCUUAUAAAACAAAAAAAAUGAACAUUUACAUAUCAUUCGAUUACUAACAAUCCUUAGGGAAGUAAUCUUAUAAUAAAUCUUUACUAUACCGAAUCAUUAUUUUUUUUCAUUUUAGAGAGUGUGAUGGGUGUGAGUCUUCUAGUCGUAUCACAACAAUACAAAGUGAAGCGUUUAGAAACCUUUCAGCUCUUAAAUAUAUGUAUGUAUAAAGUUUGACAAUUUUUGUUCGAAAGCAAAAUGUGAAAAUAUCUAGUCAUUCCUAGUCAUAUCUUGUUUACUUAAAACUAGUAUAAUAAAAGAACACCGAUUAAUAUGAAGUUUAAAGCGUAGAAGAUAAAACAGAAUAGAUUUUUUCUUAUGCUUGUUAAAUAAAAAAAAAAUAACAUCUUGGUUCGACUCAUUAUUUGUUUACUCAGGCUGGAUACCCAUAUGAUAAUAAAGAAUAAUGCCAGUAUCAUAUAUCAAUAUUGAUAAAACGACACCAUGGACAAAUAUCCUUUUCAUGACACAUUCAGAUCAUAAUACUAAUAACAACAGCAGCAAUCUUCGAAUGCAUCUGUGUUCAGUUCUUUUACAAGACCUGUUUGCCUCUGAACAACACUGUCAAAUUUUAAAAUGUGAAGCCAAUGGCUGCAACACUUAUGGAAUUGAAAUAACAUAUUCUCAGUAGCAAUUUUACUUAAAAGUCUUAUUUUACAGGAAGUAAGAAUGAUAUGACUUAUAUAUCAACAUUUGUCGUCUAUGAUAUUAAAUAUAUUAUAUAUGCUGAUUAGUUUACAUUAGUGACAAGUAAGGAAUUCUAAAUAGACAUAUGUGCGGUCAUAUAUCAGCCAUAAAUCACAAUUUAAGUGACACUGUAUACCAGCUUUUUAACCAACCUGGUAAUUCAAUCCUUUUAAUGCAAGUUCGCAUCAUCGAAAAUACACCACAGUACUUACAAUUCUCAAUUUGCAACACAUUUAGUAGACACACAUAUGACUACUGGAUUCGACAAUUGGAAACUACGACACCAUACACUACAAACCAUUAAAGUCUGAAAUGGCCUAUAUCUGUACUCGACUGUACUGAUUUUUACUCGACCAGUUUGAAUUGGUCUGACUUUUACUUGACAUUACUCGACCCCAGUCUGAACCAUACUUGACUGUACUGAAUCGUACUUGACCCUUAUCUUUGCCGUUGAAAAUAGUCUGAACUAUUACUCGACCAGUCUGAAACAGUCUUAACCCAUUCUCGACAUGUUCUCGACCUAUUUUACCAGUCUAAACCAUACUUAACCAAAGGUCUGAACAAUACUCGACCAGUCUGAACCAUACUAGCCAAAAAAAUUUCUACUUUUUUAACUAUUAAAAAAAUGUUCUUUUUAACUGACAUAUGUAACAACAGCCAACAAAAUUUAUAAAGAAAUUUAACCUUAUAAAAGAAAUAUAUCUCUGAUUAUAUUUAGGAUAAAAACAAAAUAUUAUAUAUAACUUAUAUCAAAAAGGGAUAAAAUUAAAUAAAUAAAUAAAAUUGUUUUUCUGAUUAGUGGAAAUAUAAAGUUUAACCUCUGCUUGGGGGCAAACUCAUAAAUAAGAUCACCUGGUCAGAGGUAUUAAGUUCUAAAUAACAUUGAUUCAAAAUUGCAACAUCCUGUUUAAAUUAAAUAACAAGGCCUUUCGAAUAUACAUGUAUGUACUAGAUAAGUAAUACACGAAUUUAAGAAAAUAGGGCGUUCUUUUUACCUGUAAAACACACAUGUACUGAGGUAAUUAGAACGUAUUAAAGUGCUUUAUGUAUGCCAUGUUAAUUUGACAAAAAAAAAAUACUUAAAGUAAUUGAAAUUUUUUUUUACUGUUACUUUGGAAUACAUUUCUUUUUUUAAAAAGGUUAUCAAGGAUUGCUAUGGAAAUUCUAUUAUCAUGACUAUAUUAAAUUUUUGGUUUAAUAAAACAAAACAAUUAAACUCUCAUUUUUUUUUAAUUUAUUAAGUUGUUUUAUAUACUAUUUUAUAUAUAUCUUAAUAAAAAAAACAUUCACUUCAUUAUUACCCAAACUCAACUGACACCGUGAAUCUAUACUAGGCUUAAGUUUAUGAUGAAAAUAGUCCAGUUACCAUAAAAUACUUCCGAUAUAUUCAUAACAUUUUCAAUAGUAUUGAAAAUAUUAGUCACAAUUCAUCUUUUUAGAUUAUUUGAUCAGCUUUUUUUAUAUUAUAUUUUAAAAGUUGAUAAAUAUUAUUAUGUAAGUGUUGAUUAAUAUUGAGUUGAAGUUAUAUUAUGAUUGAUUAUUGUGAAAUUUCAAUUUCAAUACUGUAUUGAAUACAUUUUUAAUUUCAAGUUGUUGUUCAAAUUUCAUUUUUAUUAAAAAAAAAGUCCUAAAUUGAUAAAAUUCAGUUGAUAGAUAGAAAGAAUAGAUCUAGGUUGGUUAAGACAUGGUCGAGUAUGGUUUAGACUAGGUCGAGUAUGGUUCAGACUAGGUCGAGUACGGUUCAGACUAGGUCUAGUACGGUUCAGACUAUGUCGAGUACGGUUCAGACUCGUAUAAAACGGUUAAGUACUGGUCAAGUACACAUUCAGACUGUUAAGUAUGGUUCAGACUACAGUCGAGUAUUAUCAAGUAAAUCUCAGACGAAUUCAGACUGGUCGAGUAAAAUCAGUACAGUCGAGUAAAGAUAUAGGCCAUUUCAGACUUUUAAUGGGUUGUAGUGAUAGGUUCACAAAGACGAAACUGAUGGAGUAGGUUUUCUACUUAGUCCUAUUUGUAGCUCAAUGAAUGUGAUUAACAUUUUUAACUCUAAUCCUCGACGUUUACGUAAUCAUGGUCAUCGUCACUAUAUAUCACUCACUAUCAAUGAUAUAUGUAUAAGAAACCUUCUGCUAUUUAUAUAAAUGCGUUAUUUAUUAGAUUCGCACGAAGCUUUAUUCUUCAGCCCUUUCAAAACGUAUUCUCUUAAAUAUCUUAAUAACUUAUGUGUGUGAAACCACUGUUAAUAACCAAUAAUAAUUCAAACCAAUUGAAACGUACAGCUAUUAUUUCGAAUAUUGCAAGUCACUGACUGUAAAAACCAGUUUGCAUCGAAAAAAAAAUGAAAAGGUUGAAACAUCCUUUCAUAAAUGUCCUUUGCAAACAAAGGCAUUGACGCCUCAGCAAUUCAAUAAUAUGACAGUUGUUUUCCAUUCUUUGAUGCGUUUGAGCUUUUAAUUUUGUCAUUUCAUUAGGAACUUUUCGUUUUAAUUUUCAUCGGUGUUCAGUAGUUUCGUGAUUUUUCUUAUUUAGGUAUUAUCUUUCAUUAUAAUUCAGUUCACUCCAAAAUUUUCCCUUUUUUUAAGAUACAAAUGUAGGUCUGUACCUAUCAAUUAUCAUACCUAUACUAAUGAUACGAUUCUUUCUUUUUCAGAAAGUUACGAGGCAAUACUAUAACUAUAUUACAACAAGGAACAUUCAAAGACCUACCAGCGCUAAAAACUAUGUGUGUAUAAAAUUAAAUUAUAUGUCAUUCAGACGUGUUGUCAAAACCACUAGAGUCAUUCAGAGGAAGAGUAUAUUCAAUACUAUGAAUGAAAAAAAAACACUUUAAUGCGUUUAAACUUAUUGUAGAUUUCAGGCCUAUAAUUAACAAUAAAAUAAACGCGUUUUAUCUACACCAAAAGCAUUGGUGCCUUUAGAAUCAGUUGUUAAACUGUAGUUAUCUACUAAAUAUCAUCUGUAACUUUUAAAGAAAAGAUAAUACUCAUGUUCGUGUAUGCAAUUAACCAAGGUAUUUACUUAUGCUUGUCGUCAAUUUGUAAAGGAAACAAAAGGGACAUUCAACGGCGAAUACCACUCCUUCAAAACAAAUUCUGUGGAAAUUUUUUUACUAAAACAUAUUAAUUGCAAAUUUGUAUUCAGGUACGUUUUUGUAUGAAAUAAACAUAUAAAAUUGCAUGUCAAGUUGACAAAAGAAUAUAUUCCAUGCUUUUCAAAAGGAAAUUAAAAAUAUGUCAAAACGACAGCAAUCCAAUGAAAGAUCAGAAAACGGGCACCAAUGAGUCUUCAACACAGCGAAAAACAUAUAUUACACGAACAGUUAAAUUCCUUUUGAACCAACGAGCUUUAGGAAUCGAACAUUAUGAUAAAUCAGUCAUUACCAAAUCAUAACUUCUCUGUUUCAGAUGGUUUGAUACCGGUACAAUUACUACAAUACAACGUGGGCCGUUUAAAAACCUAACUGCACUCGAUUCAUU
RNAcentral lists this long non-coding RNA (6378 nucleotides) under Mytilus galloprovincialis (Mediterranean mussel). The record is from RNAcentral. Lineage: Eukaryota; Metazoa; Mollusca; Bivalvia; Mytilida; Mytilidae.